GACGAACGCUGGCGGCGUGCUUAACACAUGCAAGUCGAACGAAGAGCGAUGGAAGCUUGCUUCUAUCAAUCUUAGUGGCGAACGGGUGAGUAACGCGUAAUCAACCUGCCCUUCAGAGGGGGACAACAGUUGGAAACGACUGCUAAUACCGCAUACGAUCUAACCUCGGCAUCGAGGAUGGAUGAAAGGUGGCCUCUAUUUAUAAGCUAUCACUGAAGGAGGGGAUUGCGUCUGAUUAGCUAGUUGGAGGGGUAACGGCCCACCAAGGCGAUGAUCAGUAGCCGGUCUGAGAGGAUGAACGGCCACAUUGGGACUGAGACACGGCCCAGACUCCUACGGGAGGCAGCAGUGGGGAAUCUUCCGCAAUGGACGAAAGUCUGACGGAGCAACGCCGCGUGAGUGAUGACGGCCGUCGGGUUGUAAAGCUCUGUUAAUCGGGACGAAAGGCCUUCUUGCGAAUAGUUAGAAGGAUUGACGGUACCGGAAGAGAAAGCCACGGCUAACUACGUG
Molecule: ribosomal RNA, 510 nt
Filed under: uncultured bacterium
Lineage: Bacteria
Description: partial 16S ribosomal RNA
Rfam family: Bacterial small subunit ribosomal RNA
Source: RNAcentral